CUUCCCUCGGGCGGGGGAGUAACCUUCCCGAAAGGAGGGCUAAUACCGCAUAAGACCACGGCUUCGCAAGGAGCAGCGGUAAAAGCAGGCCUCUAUACAUAAGCUUGCACCUGAGAAUGAGUCCGCGGCCCAUCAGCUAGUUGGCGGGGUAAUGGCCCACCAAGGCAAAGACGGGUAGCUGGUCUGAGAGGAUGAUCAGCCACACUGGAACUGAGACACGGUCCAG
RNAcentral lists this ribosomal RNA (226 nucleotides) under uncultured bacterium. Its description in RNAcentral is "partial 16S ribosomal RNA". It matches the Rfam family "Bacterial small subunit ribosomal RNA", at positions 126 to 334 of the family's 1533-position model. The record is from RNAcentral.